AGAAGGGGUUAUUAAUAACGAAACGUGGGUUCAAAUAUAAUUUAGAAUUUUAUGUACAGUGCCGAUUCGUUCGUUGGGGGCUCAUGAGAUGGGCUGCCUCGAUGGUUAGAUGUUUGCAGAUUGGGGCAAAACCCAACUAAAAAGUAGUGUCCGAGGUACUGUCAAUGUCAAAAUCGAAGGCGCUGUCGCAUCGCAGGUCCUGUAUACAGAACGCUAGGGGCAGGACAGAUACAGCGAGAGUAACUCUGUUAUCGAAGUGUUGCUCAGAAUUCCUCAGGAUUGCUCUGGAUCACUCUGGUUUUCCUGAAGUGUUGCCUGAUACCAGUGAAAAAUAGAGCAGUCUUGCCUGAUUUCCCGCUUCGUAGAGACGUUUCUGAAUGGAUUCGAGCGAAAAGAGUUACUCAGGAUUGCUCAGAGUUGCUCCGGAUUGCACAGUGUCUUGCCCCUAGACAGAACGUUUGUGCAAGUAUAUUAAGUCAAUAAUCAAUAAUUUUUAAAUGCCAGUAUUUUCUCUGUGCGUUGAUACAUACUUUCUGGGGCGGUCUUUAAAUUAGAAAACCAUGAUGCUCCCCUUAUCAAAAGCUCGCAACUUUUUCUUGCUAUAUUUCCAUUUUUUUCAAUAUUUUCUUUUAAUAUUUUUUUUUAAUACUGGUACAAUAAAAUUAGCCCUUUUCAAAUGUUAGUUUAGAAAACUUUAAAAAAAUCUUAAAUAUAGGUAAAAAGUACUAAUUAGAUGAUUUUAUUAUAUUAUGAAAAAGGUCGAACCAACCCUGGGAAUUUUUCUGGGAAAGUGUGAUUCGCUACCAGCCCUGCCCUGCCAACUCAACUUCUCGCCUCUCGGCUCUCGCAAAAGCGCAAACAAAACACAUACAAACCUGUUGAAAUGCCGCAACUGUUGAAUGAUUCAGCACUGCACCACACACUAUUAUUUUCUCCCGUGAGGAAAAUGCGGAAAAUUCACGCAGCUGAGCGUGAAUUUUCCACAUUUUCCGCACACAAAACUGCUAUUCAGAAUUUUUUACCGCUGACGACCGAGCUGACUACAACAAAACUUGGCUGUCAUCGAUACACACUGUUUCGGAAUUACUCAAAAACCCAAGCAAAAACCCUUUUAUUUUCAAACGUCCAGACCAUUGAAAAACAGUAUAUUUCAAUGUUACUGAUACAUUCUAUUGUAAACUAAUGGUUUGAACGCUGAAUCCAACAGUAACAAAGAAUUCAAUUGUUAAUCUAUUGUUUGGGUAUGUAACCAUGGAAUCUAAUGUAAAUCUUUUGUAAUCAUUAAAAAGAAUCAAAUUUUAAAAACACUGUACAAUACAUUCACAAUAGAAAGCAAUGUUAACAUAAGAAUCUGUGGUUUUUCAAUUGUUUUUCCCAUAGCCUUAAUUGUUCGUUUUUAUCCGGGUUAUUCCUUGUAAAUGGAGGAAUAAGUGCACCGAAGACGUCGAGACGAUCCGAGGCAAAUGUGCACUUUUAUCACACUUUUUAGGCGUACCAAAAAAAGUGUGAUAGUCCAAUUUGAGAUGUAUUUAGCUAGGGGCAGGACAGAUACAGCGAGAGUAACUCCACCGACGAAGAUACAGACGGAGCAGUAAUCGUUUUUUUCGGUACCACUUUCAUUUUCACGCUUUGGCAAGCCCCUCUUUCAUUGUGUAAUUGAUCGCUUUGGUGAACCCCUUAAACGGGCGAACUGGGUGAAAUGUCAAGCGACUUGUCAACAACUUUGUUUUUGUUUAUGUGAAAGUGCUCUGCUUUUUGCAACCUCCCCAAACUUGCGUGAAUCCAGCAUCCAACAACACUAAACAUCAAGUCGGUCGGAACACCGGGAAAAAUAGAGCCUCCGGAGAGUUUCAAGCGACGGUGGGAACAUUUUCGAUCCGGACAACAAUGCGGCAUUCUUGGAGUAGUGAGGCGCAGCGUAAGCAAACCGGCUGGAAGCACAUCUGAUCCAUCUGAUCGAGUGCGACAGAGGGCUCUUCUUGGAGAACAACUACCAUGAGAUUAUCUUAUAGCAGCUGUAAUUGUGCGGAGGUGAUCCGACCAGGAGGAAACGCUACUCUGAAGGUGUUCGAUUAUGAAAUUGGUAGCUGGUGGCCUAACAACGAUGAAGAGGAUACCGAUUGUUUCUACUUUAUUCGUGAUAAUUAUUUCAAAGAGGACUUGGCCCGCCGAUGGAAUCAGGAACUUCGGAACCAGGUCGGAAACGGAGGGUUCAAUGGCGGGCCUGGAGGACUGCGCCGGAUUACCGCAAUCGACCUUUUCCACGUUCUUCAGACGACCGAAGUUGAUUCUGGCCUUGGGACCACUCGACAAGCGAUCGUCAGGGUCGUGCCGAAUCUAAUAUAUAGGAUCUUUCCUGAUUGACGUGUGAGGCGUUUGAGCAGUAAGCUGUGCUGCUCCGGUUGCGGAUACAAAUCUACAAAUCCGUGGUCCGAUACGACAAUCGACAGUGUGACGCUGCUGCUUCCGGAAGUUAAUAAUUACAGAAUUGUUAACUACUCUACUUCACUGAAAUAAAGCUACUGUGUCCAAAGUAUAAA
Aedes albopictus (Asian tiger mosquito) is the source of this 2540-nucleotide long non-coding RNA. RefSeq lists it as uncharacterized. The transcript is spliced from 2 exons. The record is from RefSeq and is a predicted model, not a curated record. NCBI's taxonomy places the organism in Eukaryota, Metazoa, Arthropoda, Insecta, Diptera, Culicidae.